AGCAGGGAAGAAGCGAAAGUGACGGUACCUGCAGAAGAAGCACCGGCCAACUACGUGCCAGCAGCCGCGGUAAUACGUAGGGUGCAAGCGUUGUCCGGAAUUAUUGGGCGUAAAGAGCUCGUAGGCGGUUCGUCGCGUCGGCUGUGAAAACCUGAGGCUCAACCUCAGGCCUGCAGUCGAUACGGGCGGACUGGAGUUCGGCAGGGGAGACUGGAAUUCCUGGUGUAGCGGUGAAAUGCGCAGAUAUCAGGAGGAACACCGAUGGCGAAGGCAGGUCUCUGGGCUGUUACUGACGCUGAGGAGCGAAAGCAUGGGGAGCGAACAGGAUUAGAUACCCUGGUAGUCCAUGCCGUAAACGUUGGGCACUAGGUGUGGGGGACAUUCCACGUUCUCCGCGCCGUAGCUAACGCAUUAAGUGCCCCGCCUGGGGAGUACGGCCGCAAGGCUAAAACUCAAAGGAAUUGACGGGGGCCCGCACAAGCGGCGGAGCAUGCGGAUUAAUUCGAUGCAACGCGAAGAACCUUACCAAGGCUUGACAUUCACCGGACCGCCUCAGAGAUGGGGUUUCCCUUCGGGGUCGGUGGACAGGUGGUGCAUGGUUGUCGUCAGCUCGUGUCGUG
RNAcentral lists this ribosomal RNA (620 nucleotides) under uncultured Kocuria sp. RNAcentral describes it as "bacterial SSU rRNA". It matches the Rfam family "Bacterial small subunit ribosomal RNA", at positions 438 to 1069 of the family's 1533-position model. Lineage: Bacteria; Bacillati; Actinomycetota; Actinomycetes; Micrococcales; Micrococcaceae. The record is from RNAcentral.